This is a long non-coding RNA of Gavialis gangeticus (Gharial), 168 nucleotides long. RefSeq lists it as uncharacterized. The record is from RefSeq and is a predicted model, not a curated record. NCBI's taxonomy places the organism in Eukaryota, Metazoa, Chordata, Crocodylia, Gavialidae. The transcript is spliced from 4 exons.
AGGAGAUGAUAAACAAAAAAAGGUUUCUUUGAAUUAUUUAUUUAAUAAAGGAAGAAAAAGGUCAGCAGAAGAUUGAUUCAUGUCAGGCUCUGCAGCUACACCUGGUGUCCUAAAAUGUUCAUUACACAUAAAUACCUGCAAAUUACACGGCAAAUUACGUGCAAAAGA